GCCAAUUCCUUUAUAGACUACAAUAUGAGGUAAAAAAAUUGAUGCUCAAUUUAUUCGAUCUUCAAACAUUGAAUCAAGCAAUUGAUUUUGCUGUAAAAUGUGACAAUCAAAUUUUUGAAUUUCGAUCUGAGAAUCACAUAAGUAUGCCUCAACAUUAUUAAAAUUCAAUGGCAACACCUAUGUCUUCUCUAUACAUAUCUUCAGAAGUAAAAGAUAUGCAAAUCAAUACAAUA
Molecule: long non-coding RNA, 233 nt
Filed under: Physcomitrium patens
Lineage: Eukaryota; Viridiplantae; Streptophyta; Bryopsida; Funariales; Funariaceae
Description: long non-coding RNA (PPAT_LNC014198)
Source: RNAcentral